GGUGAAAUUAUGUAUGCAUUGAGGGAUGGAGCUGCUCAUGUUCUUCGCUGCAUGAAAGUCUGGUAUGAUCUUCCUUAUGCAGUUCUUCUGGAUGCUCUCAACAUGAUGGACUGGUUCAUGAGCCGCAUGAAAGCACUCCUAAACACCUCUCAUGCAUAGCAAUCAGCUCCUUCCAUCUAGCAGCUUGCCAAUGGGUGGAGAGGAUUAAACAGAACAACAUUGAGGUAUCUUCCAUUCAGAGUCCAAUGUAGAUUGUUCCUGAACCUCAAUAUCUGGUAACGAUAUCUUAAUGUAAAUGUAGAAUGUACCGCCGGAGACAUCAACCGGAUGGAAAAAAUUGUCGAAGCCAAGAUAGCUCGUCUACCCCAAGAAGAACCGGUCACGACCUUAACAUUCCUCAACCUCUAUCACUCACUUCUCUCGACGACUUUACCUGCCGCUCUUCAGCAAGACCUUCUUAUUCUUUCAUGCAAGCAGGAGACCAUUUGCUGUGACGCAAAAUAAUGCUGCCUUUCCCUCAUCUCUUUUGACUUUCGUCCUACUGUUUGUCGAAAUAAAGUGUCACCAGCAGGCCAUCGAGGUUAUUAUCAGAGACGUUUUACUAGAACUUCAGCGACUUGUUCAGGUCAAAGAUGACUAGUUGAAGGAGUGUAUAAGAAUGGUCACUUCGGCAAUGGCACCUUCCGAUGGCUAUGCCCAAAGCAAUCCGUCUCAUCGUCAACGACUUACCUGGAAGUUGUCCUUUUUCUACUAUUUAUUUGCCUUCUAAACCAUUUAUAAUAAGUUUUGCCUUUAGUAAAGCAAAAUGCCUAGCUUUUUAAAGUCCUAUACCAAUUACUUGUUGAGCCUGUGUAAAUUCGAGUCUCAGUGAUACAUGAUUACCACUCUUAACAAGAAAACUAUAUAUUUCUUUACUCACUACAUCAGAAGUUUCUCUAAGUGUGCAGUCGAAAAUUUUAGUCAAAAUUCCCUUCAUAGAUAAGAGAAAUAGAGCCGUAAUUUCAUCCUAUAAACGUUCAAUUAAUCUAUCAAAAAUCUUAUCUUGUUUAGGGUGGUUAUUAACCUUAUAUGUUAUUUAUAUAAAUUUAAAUACUAUAAAUAAUGGUUCGAAAUUAACUGAAAAAAGACUUCUGUAAUUUUACGUAAUUUCGAUGUUACGUCAUGACGUCAUACGUCGACUAUGACUUGAUAACCACCCGAAUCAGUAAGUAUCGGCUUUGACCUAUUCAUGAACUUAUGUAGCCCACAAUUAUAAAAACAAAAUCACCUGUCCUAUUUACAAUAAAUGCUUGAAUUGCCGCUUUA
Molecule: long non-coding RNA, 1305 nt
Organism: Daphnia pulex (common water flea)
Lineage: Eukaryota; Metazoa; Arthropoda; Branchiopoda; Diplostraca; Daphniidae
Exons: 3
Source: RefSeq, a predicted model, not a curated record